UCUUUCCUCAAUAAAACAGGUUGGUUUGUCUUAAGACCAAAGUUUUAUCGCCCAAGGAUGAGCCCGCGUAGGAUUAGCUAGUUGGUGGGGUAAAAGCCUACCAAGGCGACGAUCCUUAGCUGGUCUGAGAGGAUGAUCAGCCACACUGGGACUGAGACACGGCCCAGACUCCUACGGGAGGCAGCAGUGGGGAAUAUUGGACUAUGGGCGGAAGCCUGAUCCAGCAACGCCGCGUGAGGGAUGACGGGCUUAGGGUUGUAAACCUCUUUCAGCAGGGACGAAGCGCAAGUGACGGUACCUGCAAAAGAAGCACCGGUCAACUACGUGCCAGCAUCCGCGGUAAUAAUCGGAUCCCGGGCC
RNAcentral lists this ribosomal RNA (360 nucleotides) under uncultured Novosphingobium sp. RNAcentral describes it as "bacterial SSU rRNA". It matches the Rfam family "Bacterial small subunit ribosomal RNA", at positions 156 to 538 of the family's 1533-position model. The record is from RNAcentral. Lineage: Bacteria; Pseudomonadati; Pseudomonadota; Alphaproteobacteria; Sphingomonadales; Sphingomonadaceae.